Oncorhynchus tshawytscha (Chinook salmon) is the source of this 982-nucleotide long non-coding RNA. Lineage: Eukaryota; Metazoa; Chordata; Actinopteri; Salmoniformes; Salmonidae. The record is from Ensembl.
CUGAACACAGGCAACCGCAGAAGGUGACUCUGAACACAGGCAACCGCAGAAGGUGACUCUGAACACAGGCAACCGCAGAAGGUGACUCUGAACACAAGCGACUGAACCCUACUGUCCAUUCAGAAACCCUGCUCUUCUCUCAACCAAUAAGAUUGUCCGCUCAGACUGCCCAUUCAUAAAGAAACACGCGCCGAGUUACAGUAUAUACAUUCACUUUCCCCCCCCAUCUCCUCGUGCUCGGAGUUCAUUCAUGUCUUCUGCCACUGGGCAAAAGGAGUGGAAUGUACCAUUUACCUCAAUUUAUAGAGGAGACAACAUGACAGAGGACGGGGAGGAAGCUAUACAACAUUCCUAUUCUCUACUACAUACAGUAUCAACCCAACAGAACAUGUCAAUGACUGUAUAGAACCAAUAAAACAGACAUUAGCAACACCAUGACUGAUAUCCUAAUGAAAAGAAAAUAUUACUCUUGCCCUAUACUGUGCCCUUCACAGCUUAUUUAAAUAACUCACAAUUGGAGACAGCAUACGAGCUCUGUCAUACUUCUGUAUCCUUUUAAUUCUAUCAAUGUACAAGCUAUACACGCUAUUACACUCUAUGACUAUGUAACAUCUAUGUAACUGUUAUAUAACAGCUAUCAAACAGUGAAUCAGCUAUGUAACAGUGAAUCAGCUAUGUAACAGCUGUGUAACAGCUGUGUAACAGCUAUGUAACAGCUAUGUAACAGUGAAUCAGCUGUAUAACAGCUAUGUAACAGUGAAUCAGCUAUGUAACAGUGAAUCAGCUAUGUAACAGUGAAUCAGCUAUGUAACAGUGAAUCAGCUAGGUAACAGUGAAUCAGCUAUGUAACAGCUAUGUAACAGUGAAUCAGCUAUGUAACAGUGAAUCAGCUAUGUAACAGUGAAUCAGCUAGGUAACAGUGAAUCAGCUAUGUAACAGUGAAUCAGCUAUGUAACAGUGAAUCAGCUAUGUAACAGUGAAU